Molecule: unclassified non-coding RNA, 232 nt
Filed under: uncultured fungus
Lineage: Eukaryota; Fungi
Description: sequence contains ITS1
Source: RNAcentral
GUAUUGUAUUGCGUUAAACGCGAUGCACAUUCCAUCGGACUUCGUUACGGUGUGUGUGUAAAGACGUAGGACCACGGCAAGGGAACGGAGCCCCCAAGGCCACAGAACUACAGAGGGUGCACAGGUGUGAGUGGAUGUGUGAACAGAGCGUGCACAUGCCCUCGUUUGAGGACCAGCAACAACCCAUGUCGACGACUCGGUAAUGAUCCUUCCGCAGGUUCACCUACGGAAA